This 1486-nucleotide long non-coding RNA is filed under the name Homo sapiens (human). RNAcentral describes it as "HSALNT0229127". The record is from RNAcentral. Lineage: Eukaryota; Metazoa; Chordata; Mammalia; Primates; Hominidae.
CUAUCCACAUUCACAUAAUAAUCCACAACCAUCUUGACAUUGAGAAUGAAUGAAUGAGUGAUUACAUCAAGAAAGAUUGGGUGUCCUAAGAUCCAGAUGGUCUUUUCUGAAUUCCCAGAUGUUAUAGACUGAAAGUUUUGCCCAUCUGAAAUUUGUAUGUUGAACUCCUAACUUCCAAUGCCAUAGCAUUAGGAGAUAGCACCUGUGGGAGGUAAUUGGAUCAUGAUGAUGGAACUCUCAUGAAUGGGAUUAGUGCUCACAUAAAAGGGGCCCCUGAUAACUCUCUCACUCCUUUUCUACCAUGUGAGAAUACAACGAGAAGUUGGCCAUCUACAAUCUGGAAGGAGGUCUCACCAUAAGUGACCAUGCUGGCACCCUGAUCUUAGAUUUCCAGCCUCCAGACCUGUGAUAAAUACAUUUCUGUUGUUUUUAAGCCACCCAGUCUAUGGUGCUUUGUUAUAGCAACCCAAAUUAAGACAGCAUCCACAUCUACUUGGGUUGAGAAAAUUCAUUAAGAAGAACCGGCUUGGGAAGGCUCAGGCACCAAGUGGUCCCAGGGCUUUGAGUCCUUUUAUUUUCCCAGGACAGCACACCCACACAGCUCAUAGACUCGUUAGGGCCACAUUAAACCUUGGAAUGGGACAGAUUAUGAUUCCUGCAAAGAAGUUGCACUGGUAAUGACUGGGCAGUGGUUCCUCUGGGGCUUGCCUGUUUACAAAAUGGUACUGGAUUUCUCACAUCCUGAAUUCAGAGUCACCCUGGGAAAUUCUUAAUCCUUGCUCCUUAUGAUCUCAAGAUGUGUGGCAGCAGAGAGCCAGAAAAUGCCUCCAGGCUUUCUUCUUUCUCCCUUUGCCUGUUAGAUAUUCUCAGAACACAAUAGGAUUCAGGAACCAUGUGAGUUUGUGUGCCCACGUGCAGCAGGGCCAGUUUUAUUACUUUAUGACGGUUCCUUCCUGAAUGUCUCAUAGAAUACAAGUCUGAACACUGUGAGUGAGCCCUGGGAGGGUUAUCUCUUUUUACUUUCAGGUCUUGGCAAUUUUAUUCCAAUAGUGUCAUCAAUAUUGAUUAUGUGUCUACUCUAUGUAUCGUAAUAAUACUAAUAACCUACAUUUAUACAGUCCAUAUAAACCCUUAAGUUUGCAAAGAAGCUUGAAGGUCAUCACUCUAACAUGGCCCAUUCUAUCCAUUUCAGCAUUGAUUUUGUCUUAUUCAAUCAUCAGAACCAUGUGAGGAACGUUGGAUGAUUAGUCCUAAUUUAAAGAUGGAGAGGAGCAUAAGGACUCACUUACUCAAGGUCACAAGAUAAUAAAUGACGAAGCUGGCACUCAAAUCACUGUCCUUGUAAAGAGACACAUUGUGGUAGAUAUGACCACCUACUGACACUACUUGCGCAACUCAGAAGUAAGGCAGAAGAGUUAUUGCCAUGUGCUGCCACACUUGAGAAAGCUGAGAUUCAGAGAACAUCAGUGACAACCCAAAGCCAUAU